Molecule: ribosomal RNA, 368 nt
Filed under: uncultured organism
Description: bacterial SSU rRNA
Rfam family: Bacterial small subunit ribosomal RNA
Source: RNAcentral
CAGAGGUCUCAAGCGUUGUUCGGAAUCACUGGGCGUAAAGGGUGCGCAGGCCGCGCGGGCAGUCAAAUGUGUAAUUCAGGGGCUCAACCCCUGGACUGCGCUUGAUACUUCCGUGCUAGAACCUUGGAGAGGAGUCUGGAAUUCUCGGUGUAGCAGUGAAAUGCGUGGAUAUCGAGAAGAACACUAAGGGCGUAAGCAAGACUCUGGACAAGUGUUGACGCUCAUGCACGAAGGCUAGGGGAGCGAACGGGAUUAGAUACCCCGGUAGUCCUAGCUGUAAACGGUGCACGUUUGGUGUGGGAGGCAACCCUUCCGUGCCGAAGCUAACGCGAUAAGCGUGCCGCCCGGGUAGUACGGUCGCAAGACUA